RNAcentral lists this ribosomal RNA (253 nucleotides) under uncultured organism. Its description in RNAcentral is "partial 16S ribosomal RNA". It matches the Rfam family "Bacterial small subunit ribosomal RNA", at positions 524 to 776 of the family's 1533-position model. The record is from RNAcentral. RNAcentral also lists the same sequence under 1 other name.
UACGAAGGGUGCGAGCGUUAUUCGGAAUCAUUGGGCGUAAAGGGUGCGUAGACGGUAUAUUAAGUCUGUUGUAAAAUCCUCCAGCCUAACUGGAGACCUGCAGUGGAAACUAAUAUGCUAGAGGGUGGAAGAGAGAAGUGGAAUUCUCGGAGUAGCGGUAAAAUGCGUAGAUCUCGAGAGGAACACCAAUGGCGAAGGCAGCUUCUUGGUCCAUACCUGACGUUGAGGUACGAAAGCGUGGGGAGCAAACAGG